UGGCGAGUAGCAAAGUGGUAAUGCACCCGGCUGUUAACCGGGAGACUCGCGGGUUCGACCCCCGCCUCGCCAGCCA
This 76-nucleotide transfer RNA is filed under the name Microbulbifer sp. ZGT114. RNAcentral's name for it is "tRNA-Asn". It matches the Rfam family "tRNA". From Rfam's summary of the family: Transfer RNA (tRNA) molecules are approximately 80 nucleotides in length. Their secondary structure includes four short double-helical elements and three loops (D, anti-codon, and T loops). Lineage: Bacteria; Pseudomonadati; Pseudomonadota; Gammaproteobacteria; Cellvibrionales; Microbulbiferaceae. RNAcentral also lists the same sequence under 1 other name. The record is from RNAcentral.